RNAcentral lists this long non-coding RNA (300 nucleotides) under Musa acuminata (dwarf banana). Its description in RNAcentral is "long non-coding RNA (MACU_LNC011885)". Lineage: Eukaryota; Viridiplantae; Streptophyta; Magnoliopsida; Zingiberales; Musaceae. The record is from RNAcentral.
CUAGUGGAAGUUGGGAGCCUCAUCGAAGAAGGCUUCGCAAGUGGAUGUAGGUUGCAUGACCGAACCACUAUAAAUCGGUUUGCGUUUAUCUUAUUGUCAUUUAUAUUACUGUAAACCAUCUUCACUUUGAUGCUCUACUUCUUUGUCUCCUUCUUACGUAUGCCUUCAAGUUAAAACGCAAUCGAAACGGUUUCAAACGAAACGUUGCUUUUAUCGUACGAAGUUUCCGAAAGUGUUUAAAUCGUCGAAAGUUUAUCAUACUUUACCGCUGCACUAAUUCACCCUCCCCUCUUAGUGCCG